UACAGAGGUCUCAAGCGUUGUUCGGAUUCAUUGGGCGUAAAGGGUGCGUAGGUGGCGCUGUAAGUCGGGUGUGAAAUUUCGGAGCUUAACUCCGAAACUGCAUUCGAUACUGCGGUGCUUGAGGACUGGAGAGGAGACUGGAAUUCAUGGUGUAGCAGUGAAAUGCGUGGAGAUCAUGAGGAAGACCAGUGGCGAAGGCGGGUCUCUGGACAGUUCCUGACACUGAGGCACGAAGUCCAGGGGAGCAAACGGG
RNAcentral lists this ribosomal RNA (253 nucleotides) under uncultured bacterium. Its description in RNAcentral is "partial 16S ribosomal RNA". It matches the Rfam family "Bacterial small subunit ribosomal RNA", at positions 524 to 776 of the family's 1533-position model. The record is from RNAcentral.